CACUGUAAAAAUACACUCUAAUGUCGCAAAUUAACAAAACAAACAACAUCUUCUAGUUUCUUAGAACACAAUUUCUUCUGGUAGACUGAAACACAAGCAUUAAAACAUAAAGUUAAAACAAACAAUCCAUCAUAGUUCCGCACACCAAAAAGUUAUAACAACCCAUCAUUGUUAACCAUCUUCAUGCCUUGCAUAAGUGAGAUAUCUUCAAGAGUUCCAAACCCUACAAAAACAAUGAUGUCUUGCUAAAUGAUACUAUAAGAAUAUGAUCUUACCAAUAAGAAUAAACGAAGUUUAGGAUCUUACCAAUACACCAACAAAAUAAUGUUACAUUCUAACUAGCCUGAAUAACCAAAUAUCAUAAC
Molecule: long non-coding RNA, 365 nt
Filed under: Aquilegia coerulea
Lineage: Eukaryota; Viridiplantae; Streptophyta; Magnoliopsida; Ranunculales; Ranunculaceae
Description: long non-coding RNA (ACOE_LNC001306)
Source: RNAcentral